AGACUAUGAUGUGGGCAUUUUCUUAAUAACUCCUUGAACUUUUCCAUGUCUCGUACACAGAUUCCCCAUCCUCUUGAGAGUAUGAGUUAAUUUCGGUCAUGAGUUU
Molecule: small nucleolar RNA, 106 nt
Filed under: Helianthus annuus (common sunflower)
Lineage: Eukaryota; Viridiplantae; Streptophyta; Magnoliopsida; Asterales; Asteraceae
Description: sRNA HanXRQr2_Chr09g0379921
Rfam family: Plant small nucleolar RNA R71
About the family: R71 is a member of the C/D box family of snoRNAs containing the C (UGAUGA) and D (CUGA) box motifs. Multiple nearly identical copies of this snoRNA have been identified in Arabidopsis, and it is thought to function as a 2'-O-ribose methylation guide for 18S ribosomal RNA.
Source: Rfam by way of RNAcentral